Molecule: ribosomal RNA, 112 nt
Filed under: uncultured eukaryote
Lineage: Eukaryota
Description: partial small subunit ribosomal RNA
Rfam family: Eukaryotic small subunit ribosomal RNA
Source: RNAcentral
UCGCUACUACCGAUUGGACGUUUUGGUGAGGUUCAGGGAUUGUUGCAGGACGGGGUUCGCCCCUGGCCAGCACGCAAGAACUGAGACAAACCUGAGCGUCUAGAGGAAGUAA